Molecule: long non-coding RNA, 240 nt
Organism: Etheostoma spectabile (orangethroat darter)
Lineage: Eukaryota; Metazoa; Chordata; Actinopteri; Perciformes; Percidae
Exons: 3
Source: RefSeq, a predicted model, not a curated record
CCCAGACAGUCAAUAUUCAAUGUUCAUUAUGUUGUUUGUUUGAUUGGAAUGUGUGAAAACUCAAACUUUUAUCAAAGCAUGGUGUUCAUUUGCACCACUCACAGUGGAGGGAGAAGAGACUGUUGAUUGUUGCUGAAAAAAUUCCAAAGAACUGAACACAUGGAGACUGAGUGCCAGCAGUGGACAGAGAGCCAAAUUGAUGAGGACAGUGACUCAGAGGAGAUCUUGUGUGGAAUCUAU